AGUNGANCNGNNNNNGANGAGANCUUNCUNUNUUGCUGACGAGUGGCGGACGGGUGAGUAAUGCUUGGGAAUCUGGCUUAUGGAGGGGGAUAACUACUGGAAACGGUAGCUAAUACCGCGUAAUGUCUNNGGACUAAAGGGGGCGAAAGCUCUUGCCAUAAGAUGAGCCCAAGUGGGAUUAGGUAGUUGGUGAGGUAANGGCUCACCAAGCCGNCGAUCUCUAGCUGGUCUGAGAGGAUGACCAGCCACACUGGAACUGAGACACGGUCCAGACUCCUACGGGAGGCAGCAGUGGGGAAUAUUGCACAAUGGGGGAAACCCUGAUGCAGCCAUGCCGCGUGAAUGAAGAAGGCCUUCGGGUUGUAAAGUUCUUUCGGUGAUGAGGAAGGUGUAAUGGUUAAUACCCGUUACAAUUGACGUUAGUCACAGAAGAAGCACCGGCUAACUCCGUGCCAGCAGCCGCGGUAAUACGGAGGGUGCGAGCGUUAAUCGGAAUAACUGGGCGUAAAGGGCACGCAGGCGGUUGUUUAAGUGAGGUGUGAAAGCCCUGGGCUCAACCUGGGAAUUGCAUUUCAGACUGGACAACUAGAGUACUUUAGGGAGGGGUAGAAUUCCACGUGUAGCGGUGAAAUGCGUAGAGANG
RNAcentral lists this ribosomal RNA (643 nucleotides) under Muribacter muris. Its description in RNAcentral is "partial 16S ribosomal RNA". It matches the Rfam family "Bacterial small subunit ribosomal RNA", at positions 60 to 698 of the family's 1533-position model. The record is from RNAcentral. Lineage: Bacteria; Pseudomonadati; Pseudomonadota; Gammaproteobacteria; Pasteurellales; Pasteurellaceae.